This is a long non-coding RNA of Camelus dromedarius (Arabian camel), 2940 nucleotides long. RefSeq lists it as uncharacterized. NCBI's taxonomy places the organism in Eukaryota, Metazoa, Chordata, Mammalia, Artiodactyla, Camelidae. The record is from RefSeq and is a predicted model, not a curated record. The transcript is spliced from 2 exons.
CAGCCAGGUACUCCUUCACCACCAGUGGUAACUGCUCCUUGGUGACAUUCUAGAUGAGGAAGCCACACUCACCCUGAGGUGUAGGGUGCCAGCUGGGCCAAUGGUAGGCACACCAGUGACUUGGGCCCUGGCUCAGCACCCCGAGGAGUUUUUGGCCUGAGGUCAGAGAGAAAGGGGAGCUUCCUGGAAAGUUCUCCCUCUUGGGUGAGUCUUACUCCUGUGUUUUUACUGCAUGAGCACCGCCUGCCAUGUCCCUGAGGAAGCCUGGGGAGCCUUGCCCACCAGCAGCCAUCUGAUCCCAUGCCAAACCCCAUGCCCCCCAAGAAAGAUUUCCGUCCUGGCUGGGAGCCCUUUGUGAAGAGUAACUACUAGUGCUUGUUUAGUGGGAACUUCAUGAUCUGUUCCGCAAGAAAAGGGCCCAGGUGUGGGCCAGGCUCAAACAUCAGGAGGGAUUCCAGCCAGCGCCACACGAGGCGUCAAGGCUCUUGCCCAAGUAAAUGGUAAGUUCUCAGAGCACAGAGCCCAGGAAGAGCCCCCACCUUUCCCACAUUCUUGCUGCCAUCCUGUCCCUCACUACCACCUGGGUCGGAGCUGAUGUAGGGGCUGGGAGGAUUCCCCCUGAGCUGGGGCAUCCACCCUGACCCAGGAGCAGGCAGGAUGCCGGGAUUUGCAGCUGCCUGGAGGCUAAGGAAUGGACACGAGGACACAUCCGAAUGACAAGCUGAAAACUUGCAGCCCCCAAGCCUCCAAGAGACUAUACUUCUUUCCCCCUGUCAUUCCUGGCCAGCUCUUACUACACAGGGUCUAUAGGAGGCUCCCAAGCUCUUGGGAGUCUCCAGAGAGGCCACUGGGAUCUGAUCCGGUGCCCAGCACUACCCAAGAGACAUCCUUUGCUACCCCCCCUGUGGUGGGCACCCCUCCUUUCACUUACAAAAGGCAAGACCCAGCUGAACUCCAUGCUGUUGACACCCAAAAGGUAGGGCACAGGUGCAACCUGCCCCCGGGUCAGGAGCUCCACAGGAUUGUCUAGGAACACCACGCCGUCCACCACGGGGCUCAUGAACCACACAAUCUAUAAGACAAGGGGGUUUCCAGCCAGUCCUCCGACAGAGCCUCCCUGUGGUCCAGGGUGCCCAGCUCAGCGGGUCCCCCUCCCGAGACUGCUUGAGUUAAAGGCCCUUUGGGGAAAAGCUGAGGCUUGGUGACCCUGGGGAGGGCAGGGAGAGUACCGGCCACAGGCAGGAUGAGGCUACUCAGACUUAGGAUGCCCCCGCCAAGGUAUUCCCAUUCACACCUCUUGAAAAUCCUUGCUAAGCCUUCUCGGUCCCUUCUAUUUAAAAUUCCACUCCUCCCAACAUGUCCAACCUCCUUACCCUGCUCCUUUUGUUGCUAUUCAUUUAUCACCUUCUAAAGAGGUGAAUAACUUAUUUAUUUAUACUGUUUAUUGUCUCUCCCCACUGGAACAUCAGCCCCACAGGGGAAGGAAUCUUGGCCUGAACAGUUCACAGAGUAUCCUGGGUGCCUAGUAUAUAGUACAUGUACAAUACAUAUGUAUUCAAAUUGGAGAGUGAGGCCUGCUCACCUCUUGAGGGUCUUCCUGGAAAUUCAUAUGGAAGAAUCUCUGUGGGGAGAGAAGGGGACCAGAGGUAAAAGAAGUCUCUCCAGUGUGCUCCUGAGACAGAGUCCCUGGGGCGGCUGGGUACCAGGUCAGGAGGGUGGUUUGCAGGCAGCCAGGUCAGAGAGCUGGAAGGAAGUUCUGCCUACCAUUUUCUUGGACACACGCAUCAUCUCGGCCCCUGAUCGUGCCCUCAGGCAGUCCACCAGAAUCUUUGUGCUGUUGUGGCUGCAGCCUGCCAGAUGGGCAAUCUUCUGUGAAGAGAAGAAGUGCUCGGGGGUACCCCCAGCCUGCCUCUCCUUGCUGAGCCCUAGGGGAGAGGAGACACUCACCUUGGCCACCUUCAGUGGAUCAGGAGUGAUGAAGACUUUGAGUACUGCGGUGCCGCUCUGGGAAAUGGCCCGAUGGAAGAGACCCUGGGCUAGGGGUGAUGUCAUCUGCAAGAGAGGUGAGCAUGGCACCCAUGAGAAUGCACUGGACCACUUGGGCAGUUUGGGGUUCCUGUCUGGCCAUGGCUGGGCAGCCUGAAGUGGCCCAGAGAGGGCAGAAGCUGGGAGGGAGUCAGGAGUUCUGGGUUGGAGUCCUAGAUCUAGAGCCAGUGCCUUCCUGCCUCUGGGCAUCCUUAUCCUGGUCUGUGCAAUGAGCCCCAGGGGUCCCAGAGAGAAUCUGGUGUUAUAGUGGUCCUGCUGUCAUAACAACCAGAAAGGUCUUCCUUUUCUGCUGCUGGGCUAGAAAUGUGGGAGGGGUACCCUAUGUUUCCCACGGCCCCAGUUACUUGCACUGGUAGUUCUUAGCCUUCCUCUGCUGCCCAAAUUGGGGGGAAGCUACUAUAUCUGGAUCCCCCAUCCUGUCCCUUGGGUACUUCAUGUGCCUUAUACUUGCUCCAGCCAGUCCCCAUCUAUGUGGUGGCCCUCACCCAACACCAUCUACUAGCCCCAGGGGCCUUCCCUCCUCCGCACACUGCUGCUGCUCCAGUUCUGUCCACUUGGCCUCCUGCAUCACUCUGCAACCAUCCUCUACUGCCCAUCCUUCCUACCUCCAUUUCAGAACCAGCCCCCAUUAGAUAUACCGUCCCCACCGCAAGUUGGUCUCCAAGCUUGUGCUUCUUUUUAACCCAGUUCCAGCAGACUGAGCCAACUCUAAAUACACAUCUGAUUGUCACUUCUCUGCUUAAAAUUUUUCCCUGCUCUCCAGUGCAUUUUCUUUUUUUUGAUGGAGGUACUGGGGAUUGAACCGAGGACCUCGUGCAUGCUAGGCAUGCACUCUGCCACUGAGCUAUACCCUCUCCUCCUCCAGUACAUUUUUAAAUAAAAUUGCUUAACUUC